UGUCAGCAGCCGCGGUAAUACGGAGGGUGCAGGCGUUAUCCGGAUUUACUAGGUUUAAAGGGUCUGUAGGCGGUUAUAUAAGUCAGUGGUGAAAGCUCGGAGCUUAACUUCGGAACAGCCAUUGAUACUGUAUGACUUGAGUAAAGUUGAUGUUGGCGGAAUACAUCAUGUAGCGGUGAAAUGCUUAGAUAUGAUGUAGAACACCGAUUGCGAAGGCAGCUGACAAAACUUUUACUGACGCUGAUAGACGAAAGCGUGGGUAGCGAACAGGAUUAGAUACCCUGGUAGUCCACGCCGUAAACGAUGGAUACUCGUUGCUGGCGAUACACAGUCAGUGACUUAGCGAAAGCGUUAAGUAUCCCACCUGGGGAGUACGGUCGCAAGACUGAAACUCAAAUAAAUUGACGG
This 408-nucleotide ribosomal RNA is filed under the name uncultured Bacteroidota bacterium. RNAcentral describes it as "bacterial SSU rRNA". It matches the Rfam family "Bacterial small subunit ribosomal RNA", at positions 506 to 916 of the family's 1533-position model. Lineage: Bacteria; Pseudomonadati; Bacteroidota. The record is from RNAcentral.